RNAcentral lists this ribosomal RNA (390 nucleotides) under Geobacillus stearothermophilus. RNAcentral describes it as "bacterial SSU rRNA". It matches the Rfam family "Bacterial small subunit ribosomal RNA", at positions 555 to 944 of the family's 1533-position model. Lineage: Bacteria; Bacillati; Bacillota; Bacilli; Caryophanales; Anoxybacillaceae. The record is from RNAcentral.
UGGGCGUAAGCGCGCGCAGGUGGUUUCUUAAGUCUGAUGUGAAAGCCCACGCCUCAACCGUGGAGGGUCAUUGGAAACUGGGAGACUUGAGUGCCUAAGAGGAAAGUGGAAUUCCAUGUGUAGCGGUGAAAUGCGUAGAGAUAUGGAGGAACACCAGUGGCGAAGGCGACUUUCUGGUCUGUAACUGACACUGAGGCGCGAAAGCGUGGGGAGCAAACAGGAUUAGAUACCCUGGUAGUCCACGCCGUAAACGAUGAGUGCUAAGUGUUACAGGGUUUCCGCCCUUUAGUGCUGAAGUUAACGCAUUAAGCACUCCGCCUGGGGAGUACGGCCGCAAGGCUGAAACUCAAAGGAAUUGACGGGGGCCCGCACAAGCGGUGGAUCAUGUGG